RNAcentral lists this ribosomal RNA (241 nucleotides) under uncultured bacterium. RNAcentral describes it as "partial 16S ribosomal RNA". It matches the Rfam family "Bacterial small subunit ribosomal RNA", at positions 532 to 772 of the family's 1533-position model. The record is from RNAcentral.
UGGCAAGCGUUGUCCGGAUUUACUGGGCGUAAAGAGUAUGUAGGUGGGCAUUUAAGUCAGAUGUGAAAUUCCCGGGCUUAACUUGGGAGCUGCAUUUGAUACUGGGUGUCUAGAGUGCAGGAGAGGAAAGUGGAAUUCCUAGUGUAGCGGUGAAAUGCGUAGAGAUUAGGAAGAACACCAGUGGCGAAGGCGACUUUCUGGACUGUAACUGACACUGAGAUACGAAAGCGUGGGUAGCAAA